This 123-nucleotide small nuclear RNA is filed under the name Fukomys damarensis (Damara mole-rat). RNAcentral describes it as "U2 spliceosomal RNA". It matches the Rfam family "U2 spliceosomal RNA". Rfam says of the family: U2 is a small nuclear RNA (snRNA) component of the spliceosome (involved in pre-mRNA splicing). The record is from Rfam by way of RNAcentral. Lineage: Eukaryota; Metazoa; Chordata; Mammalia; Rodentia; Bathyergidae.
AUCGCUUCUCGGCCUUUUGGCUAAGAUCAAGUGUAAACAACAUCUUAUUAAUUCUGGUUUGAUUGUCUUUACCAAAAGAAAUCAUUCCUGAGGUUUUCUUAUGGAAAAUGUUUUGGAACUUUC